Molecule: long non-coding RNA, 618 nt
Filed under: Rattus norvegicus (Norway rat)
Lineage: Eukaryota; Metazoa; Chordata; Mammalia; Rodentia; Muridae
Description: long non-coding RNA NONRATT028746
Source: RNAcentral
UGGGGUGGGCGUGAUGGUGGAGUAACACAUUGCAUUAAAAUUAGUUUUAAAAUGAUAAAAGCUAUUUCAGAUAACUGCCUUAAAUUUCCUACAAUAAUUAAAACUUGGAAUUCGAAGUUUUUGUGUAUUUGUAUACUCCAUCCUACCUUCGUAUAUAGACUUCCAAAGGUUAAUGUCCUAACAGCCGCUACAAUGUUUACUCAUGAAAACCCAGCUAGUAAAUAUUGGUGUUCAGGGCUGCCAGCUUGCCCAGUCCUUGGGGUUCUGUUCACAUAGAACACAAUUCGGAGUUGAUCAAACACUGUUGCACUUUGCUUCAUACUUCAAAACAACUUUCAUUAGGAGCUCACAUGCUGUCACUUAGACAAAAUUAACUCACUGUGACCUUUUUGCUGUUCUUACAUAGUACUGACUCUAGUGUUGUCAUUUCAGUGAGAAUUCAGUCUGUCUGUCUUCGGGAAACGGCUCUAGUUCUAGGCAGUGAGAAGCAGCUCUUUAGCAUCCGCAAAGUGUGCUAUUUUCUCUUCCUUUGACUUGUUCGGAAUACAGUGGUGUGUCCUCAUUUGUUACACGUAUUACCAUAAUAUUAAUGCAUCUUAAUAAAUCAGUUGGAAUAUA